Macrosteles quadrilineatus (aster leafhopper) is the source of this 129-nucleotide small nucleolar RNA. The record is from RefSeq and is a predicted model, not a curated record. Lineage: Eukaryota; Metazoa; Arthropoda; Insecta; Hemiptera; Cicadellidae.
UAGUGGCCGGAUCGAAGCUGAAAUAAAGUGUUGUUUAUCUCAGUCAAAACUCGGCCUACAGCAAAGAUUAACCUUAAAGGUCACUUGUAGGCUGUUGUCUUACAAGUAUUACCCAAGAUUAAUACAGUU